RNAcentral lists this long non-coding RNA (431 nucleotides) under Nicotiana benthamiana. Its description in RNAcentral is "long non-coding RNA (NBEN_LNC041516)". Lineage: Eukaryota; Viridiplantae; Streptophyta; Magnoliopsida; Solanales; Solanaceae. The record is from RNAcentral.
UAUAACUUACUUUCAACAUUAUCAGACAAUGUAUUUUGAGGGGCCGCCUUAACCAUCCUUUUUGAUGACUCGGCUGUACAAAAGUUACCCAACUUAACAGUAGCAAGCAGAAAUAAACAGUGCUUACUAAAGCACUCCAAAAUAAGUUCUGAUAAUCUUAGACACCAUAAACUAAAUCCUAAACCCCAAGCUACAGAUAUACUUGAGCAUGGAUGUAAAUUUUUCUCUUAUUCCGAGCAUGAAAGUUCACAAGGCCCCCAAGUGAUAUUGAAUGGGAGGUAGCGGGUGUUUGGUGAAUUGGUUGAAUUGCGCACAAGCUCGCUCAGACACCACCUUUAUAAGGGGGAAAAUGAAAAGGUAUGAUUAGGCAACAAUAUCUACUAUACUAGUUUCAGGUGCUGCCACCAGAAAAGGCAAAAAAGCUUGUCAUU